Molecule: ribosomal RNA, 350 nt
Filed under: Escherichia coli
Lineage: Bacteria; Pseudomonadati; Pseudomonadota; Gammaproteobacteria; Enterobacterales; Enterobacteriaceae
Also listed under: 1 other name
Description: bacterial SSU rRNA
Rfam family: Bacterial small subunit ribosomal RNA
Source: RNAcentral
AAAUUGAAGAGUUUGAUCAUGGCUCAGAUUGAACGCUGGCGGCAGGCCUAACACAUGCAAGUCGAACGGUAACAGGAAGCAGCUUGCUGCUUUGCUGACGAGUGGCGGACGGGUGAGUAAUGUCUGGGAAACUGCCUGAUGGAGGGGGAUAACUACUGGAAACGGUAGCUAAUACCGCAUAACGUCGCAAGACCAAAGAGGGGGACCUUCGGGCCUCUUGCCAUCGGAUGUGCCCAGAUGGGAUUAGCUAGUAGGUGGGGUAACGGCUCACCUAGGCGACGAUCCCUAGCUGGUCUGAGAGGAUGACCAGCCACACUGGAACUGAGACACGGUCCAGACUCCUACGGGAG